UGUGUUCUGUGAAUGUGACCCAUGUUGGCCAACAGAGGACAGCAAAAUACAUUUUUUAUGAUCCUGGGAGGUUCAGGCCAGUCACGUUUUCGCGCAGAGAGGCGGGUCGGUGGAGAGGGACAAGUCAUGUCUCAGUUAUGUGGAUUCUCUUUGCGAAAGAGGGGCCACUUCUGCAAUGGAUUUGGGGGUCCCUGGGCAGGCGUGUGGGUGGGGCAGAUUUUAGGAAGGGGAUGAGCUGCUGUGGGGGCGUCUCCCUUACUGCGGGAAAUGGAAAGUAUUACAGCUAUGGCUGGUGAGAGUGUCAGUGCCAGAGGCCAGGUCUUUGCCAGGUGGAGAGGACACCCUUAUGCCCUACCCCCAAGUUCCAGCACCUCUCCAAGAGCCCUUGGCCCCGGAAGCAGCAACAAAGUGACACUGGACUGGGGAGGAGGAAGCACAACUUUAUUUUCUGGCCCGAAGAUAAACCUGCCAGUAAUUUCAGCAAAUGAAACGUGGAACGCGUCAAGGCCAGAGGAUGGAAAAGGCUCCGGUUUUGAUAAAAGGAGGCCUGCUUGCCUUGGAAUCCUCUCUCCUGCUGGUUGGAAGAUGCAAAGAUGUUUCCAGAGAGGGGCUGAAGAAUUGAGGGGAAAGAAAUGA
This 636-nucleotide long non-coding RNA is filed under the name Cercocebus atys (sooty mangabey). RNAcentral describes it as "lncRNA (ENSCATG00000045807.1)". Lineage: Eukaryota; Metazoa; Chordata; Mammalia; Primates; Cercopithecidae. The record is from RNAcentral.